CCCUUAGAUGUUCUGGGCCGCACGCGCGCUACACUGACGCAUUCAACGAGCCUAUCCUUGACCGACAGGUCCGGGUAAUCUUUGAAUCUGCAUCGUGACGGGGAUAGAUUAUUGCAAUUAUUAAUCUUCAACGAGGAAUGCCUAGUAGGCGCAAGUCAUCAGCUUGCGUCGAUUACGUCCCUGCCCUUUGUACACACCGCCCGUCGCUCCUACCGAUUGGGUGUGCUGGUGAAAUGUUCGGAUCGGCCGUUUGUCGCGGUUUCCGCGGCUCGUGGCUGAGAAGUUCAUUAAACCCUCCCACCUAGAGGAAGGAGAAGUCGUAACA
Molecule: ribosomal RNA, 325 nt
Filed under: uncultured eukaryote
Lineage: Eukaryota
Description: partial 18S ribosomal RNA
Rfam family: Eukaryotic small subunit ribosomal RNA
Source: RNAcentral